AUGCUUGAUUUGCUGGCACAUCUACUAAAAUUGGAAUGAUAGAUGAUUAGCCUGCUCCUUGCACAGGGGUAACAUACAAAUUCAUGAAGUGUUUCAUAUUUUU
Molecule: small nuclear RNA, 103 nt
Organism: Hemicordylus capensis (graceful crag lizard)
Lineage: Eukaryota; Metazoa; Chordata; Lepidosauria; Squamata; Cordylidae
Source: RefSeq, a predicted model, not a curated record